This is a long non-coding RNA of Diospyros lotus (date-plum), 479 nucleotides long. RefSeq lists it as uncharacterized. The transcript is spliced from 3 exons. The record is from RefSeq and is a predicted model, not a curated record. Lineage: Eukaryota; Viridiplantae; Streptophyta; Magnoliopsida; Ericales; Ebenaceae.
CUUCAUUACAAAUGUUUGCAUCUCCGACAAUAACUACAAGCCAACAAGUUGUGAGUUCGUCAACAUCAAACAUUAUGAAGUAAUCGACAUUGUAAAAAGCAGUGGUUCACUAAGUAUUUUGAAGUUGCUAGUGUGAACUAAACAACGCAUCCUAAGCUUAAUUGGGCGAGGCCACGGAAAAAGAAACCUUCUUCUGCCAUGCAGCUUAUGUAUGGGAAGACCAAUUUGAGUGGCUCCUAGCAGAAGAUUUUUGAGACAAGCAACGAAAAUGAGUACUCAAUUGGCGAAUGCGUCAAAUAAACCAAACCCUGAUGCUGAACAAGCAGAAGCCCUUGAAGCUUGAUGGUGAAUUUUCUUGGACAGUUUAGGUUUUUCAGUUUUUUCUUUUGAGGUUGUAAAAGAUACUAAGAUAUGUGUAACCAGUUAUUUGUUUAAUUAAUGUAUGCCCCCACUCACCCAAAAAUGGGGGUGGGAGGACU